Molecule: unclassified non-coding RNA, 343 nt
Filed under: Hevea brasiliensis (rubber tree)
Lineage: Eukaryota; Viridiplantae; Streptophyta; Magnoliopsida; Malpighiales; Euphorbiaceae
Source: RNAcentral
GCAUCCCAAUCCUGCAGCCCAACCUCAGCAGCAUAUUCAGAAUUAAACCAAUCCUCUACUACACCAACAGUCUCUUCACACACCUGCCUUACACUUGCCCUUAAUCUAUGCAUCAUUUCAUAUACUUUAUCAGCCUUUUUAGAAAAAGAACUAACUUUCAACAGAGCAGAAAGCUCUGCUUCCUCAGCCACAACCCCUGAUUCCCCCAUAUGUACAUCAACCUCAUAAGCCUUAUCAGCCAUUCCCUUUUCACAAAACCCAAACAACGCUGGGCCAUAUGAUCUUAACUUAGGAGGAACACCAAAACUCUUCAUUUUCUUCACUAAAUCAAAAGCCAUUUCUG